Molecule: microRNA precursor, 63 nt
Filed under: Drosophila willistoni
Lineage: Eukaryota; Metazoa; Arthropoda; Insecta; Diptera; Drosophilidae
Description: microRNA dwi-mir-308 precursor
Gene: dwi-mir-308
Rfam family: mir-308 microRNA precursor family
Source: miRBase by way of RNAcentral
CUCGCAGUAUAUUUUUGUGUUUUGUUCAAUUUGUCAACUCAAAUCACAGGAUUAUACUGUGAG